UGAACGCUAGCUACAGGCUUAACACAUGCAAGUCGAGGGGCAGCAUGGUCUUAGCUUGCUAAGGCCGAUGGCGACCGGCGCACGGGUGAGUAACACGUAUCCAACCUGCCGUCUACUCUUGGACAGCCUUCUGAAAGGAAGAUUAAUACAAGAUGGCAUUAUGAGUCCGCAUGUUCACAUGAUUAAAGGUAUUCCGGUAGACGAUGGGGAUGCGUUCCAUUAGAUAGUAGGCGGGGUAACGGCCCACCUAGUCUUCGAUGGAUAGGGGUUCUGAGAGGAAGGUCCCCCACAUUGGAACUGAGACACGGUCCAAACUCCUACGGGAGGCAGCAGUGAGGAAUAUUGGUCAAUGGGCGAGAGCCUGAACCAGCCAAGUAGCGUGAAGGAUGACUGCCCUAUGGGUUGUAAACUUCUUUUAUAAAGGAAUAAAGUCGGGUAUGGAUACCCGUUUGCAUGUACUUUAUGAAUAAGGAUCGGCUAACUCCGUGCCAGCAGCCGCGGUAAUACGGAGGAUCCGAGCGUUAUCCGGAUUUAUUGGGUUUAAAGGGAGCGUAGAUGGAUGUUUAAGUCAGUUGUGAAAGUUUGCGGCUCAACCGUAAAAUUGCAGUUGAUACUGGAUAUCUUGAGUGCAGUUGAGGCAGGCGGAAUUCGUGGCGUAGCGGUGAAAUGCUUAGAUAUCACGAAGAACUCCGAUUGCGAAGGCAGCCUGCUAAGCUGCAACUGACAUUGAGGCUCGAAAGUGUGGGUAUCAAACAGGAUUAGAUACCCUGGUAGUCCACACGGUAAACGAUGAAUACUCGCUGUUUGCGAUAUACUGCAAGCGGCCAAGCGAAAGCGUUAAGUAUUCCACCUGGGGAGUACGCCGGCAACGGUGAAACUCAAAGGAAUUGAUGGGGGCCCGCACAAGCGGAGGAACAUGUGGUUUAAUUCGAUGAUACGCGAGGAACCUUACCCGGGCUUAAAUUGCAGAUGAAUUACGGUGAAAGCCGUAAGCCGCAAGGCAUCUGUGAAGGUGCUGCAUGGUUGUCGUCAGCUCGUGCCGUGAGGUGUCGGCUUAAGUGCCAUAACGAGCGCAACCCUUGUUGUCAGUUACUAACAGGUUCCGCUGAGGACUCUGACAAGACUGCCAUCGUAAGAUGUGAGGAAGGUGGGGAUGACGUCAAAUCAGCACGGCCCUUACGUCCGGGGCUACACACGUGUUACAAUGGGGGGUACAGAGGGCCGCUACCACGCGAGUGGAUGCCAAUCCCCAAAACCUCUCUCAGUUCGGACUGGAGUCUGCAACCCGACUCCACGAAGCUGGAUUCGCUAGUAAUCGCGCAUCAGCCACGGCGCGGUGAAUACGUUCCCGGGCCUUGUACACACCGCCCGUCAAGCCAUGGGAGCCGGGGGUACCUGAAGUGCGUAACCGCGAGGAGCGCCCUAGGGUAAAACUGGUGACUGGG
Molecule: ribosomal RNA, 1445 nt
Filed under: uncultured organism
Description: SSU rRNA
Rfam family: Bacterial small subunit ribosomal RNA
Source: RNAcentral